Long non-coding RNA from Sapajus apella (tufted capuchin), 404 nucleotides. RefSeq lists it as uncharacterized. NCBI's taxonomy places the organism in Eukaryota, Metazoa, Chordata, Mammalia, Primates, Cebidae. The transcript is spliced from 3 exons. The record is from RefSeq and is a predicted model, not a curated record.
CUGUCUGCAACAAAUCAUACUGAGUGGGUGUGGAGUCUUUGUUUGCAACUUUGUAACUUCACUCCAGCCUCUGAAUGGUUGCUGUUCACAACCAAUCAGACUGAUUGUGGGCUACCACUUCAGUUACAGAAGGCGAGCAUCAAGUGGCCAAUGGGAAAUUUCUAGAGGCCAUUUGAACCCAAGAAGAUUCUGUAUCCAGGCCCUUGAGCCGCCGCUGGGGUCCAUUCCCAAACUGUGGAGUGUACUUUUGCUUUCAAUAAAUCCAUGCUUUGAUUCUUCUGUUGCUUCAUUCUUUCUUUGCUUUGCUUUGCUGGGUGUUUUGUUCAAUUCUUUGUUGAAAACACCAAGAACCUGAACAACUUGCAGUCACAACCCUCUACUGGUGACAGUGGGAUGGAGGUGUA